CCUGGGCUUGGCAUGCCGCGAGUAGGAAACUGAAAGGGGACCGACCGGUUCAGUCCGGAAGCGGAACAGGUGCUGCAUGGCUGUCGUCAGCUCGUGCCGUGAGGUGUUGGGUUCAGUCCCGCAACGAGCGCAACCCUCGCCCUCUGUUGCCAUCGGGUCAAGCCGGGCACUCUGAGGGGACUGCCAGCGACAAGUUGGAGGAAGGAGAGGAUGACGUCAAGUCAUCAUGGCCCUUAUGCCCAGGGCCACACACGUGCAACAAUGGCCGGUACAGACGGAAGCGAGACCGAGAGGUGGAGCAAAUCCGAGAAAGCCGGUCCCAGUUCGGAUUGAGGUCUGCAACUCGACCUCAUGAAGUCGGAAUCGCUAGUAAUCGCGUAUCAGCACGACGCGGUGAAUACGUUCCCGGGCCUUGUACACACCGCCCGUCACACCACGAAAGUCUGUUGUACCUGAAGUCGGUGCCCCAACCGGAAACGGAGGGAGCCGCCCAAGGUAUGGCCGGUAAUUGGGGUGA
This 517-nucleotide ribosomal RNA is filed under the name uncultured Leptospirillum sp. RNAcentral's name for it is "bacterial SSU rRNA". It matches the Rfam family "Bacterial small subunit ribosomal RNA", at positions 974 to 1483 of the family's 1533-position model. Lineage: Bacteria; Pseudomonadati; Nitrospirota; Nitrospiria; Nitrospirales; Nitrospiraceae. The record is from RNAcentral.